RNAcentral lists this ribosomal RNA (450 nucleotides) under uncultured bacterium. Its description in RNAcentral is "bacterial SSU rRNA". It matches the Rfam family "Bacterial small subunit ribosomal RNA", at positions 355 to 796 of the family's 1533-position model. The record is from RNAcentral.
UAGGGAAUAUUGCGCAAUGGAGGAAACUCUGACGCAGCGACGCCGCGUGGGUGAUGAAGGCCUUCGGGUCGUAAAGCCCUGUCGGAAGGGACGAAAAAUAUAACGACUAACAUUCGUUGUACUUGACGGUACCUUCAAAGGAAGCACCGGCUAACUACGUGCCAGCAGCCGCGGUAAUACGUAGGGUGCUAGCGUUGUUCGGAAUCAUUGGGCGUAAAGCGCGUGUAGGCGGUUAGGUAAGUCUUGUGUGAAAUCCCUGGGCUCAACCGAGGAAGUGCAUGGGAAACUACCUAGCUAGAAGACGGUAGAGGAAGGUGGAAUUCCUAGUGUAGAGGUGAAAUUCGUAGAUAUUAGGAGGAAUACCGGUGGCGAAGGCGGCCUUCUGGACCGAUUUUGACGCUGAGACGCGAAAGCGUGGGGAGCAAACAGGAUUAGAUACCCCCGUAGUCC